CAUAAUAGUAGGUCUUGGCUAUUUAUGAUGAUGCCCAUUUCGGAGUCAUUUGGCCAUAGGAUUAUGAGGCUCAGAGUUUGAUCCCAUCCAAGAUUAUUCAAGAUCUUGAGAAAGUUUUAUUGAACAGAAAGCUCACGGAAUAGUUGAGCCAAGCAUCGAAAGAGUUAAGUCGGAAGAACAAGAAACGAGUGCACAUGAGUAAUAGGAUUCAGAUCCUCCUAUCCUCCCUCAAAUAAGUUUUUUGUUUUAUUAUCCUUUUAUUUUGAGCAACAAUUCAUGAAAUGUAAUUUCUUGUAAUUAAUCUUCUUGGAAUAUUGUCAACUAUUCAUUCUCUCU
Musa acuminata AAA Group (dessert banana) is the source of this 336-nucleotide long non-coding RNA. RefSeq lists it as uncharacterized. The record is from RefSeq and is a predicted model, not a curated record. The transcript has 2 exons. Lineage: Eukaryota; Viridiplantae; Streptophyta; Magnoliopsida; Zingiberales; Musaceae.